AACGUAGGAGACAAACGUUAUCCGGAGUUACUGGGCGUAAAGGGCGCGUAGGCGGUCGUGUAAGUCUGGCGUGAAAUUUUUCGGCUUAACCGGGAAAGGUCGUCGGAUACUGCACAACUAGAGGACGGUAGAGGCGUGUGGAAUUCCGGGUGUAGUGGUGAAAUGCGUAGAGAUCCGGAGGAACACCAGUGGCGAAGGCGACACGCUGGGCCGUACCUGACACUGAGGCGCGACAGCAUGGGGAGCAAACAGG
Molecule: ribosomal RNA, 253 nt
Filed under: uncultured bacterium
Lineage: Bacteria
Description: partial 16S ribosomal RNA
Rfam family: Bacterial small subunit ribosomal RNA
Source: RNAcentral